UGGGGAAUAUUGGACAAUGGGGGGAACCCUGAUCCAGCCAUGCCGCGGGGGUGAAGAAGGCCUUAUGGUUGUAAAGCACUUUAAGCGAGGAGGAGGGUACUGGUAUUAAUACUACCAGGUACUGGACGUUACUCGCAGAAUAAGCACCGGCUAACUCUGGGCCAGCAGCCGCGGUAAUACAGAGGGUGCGAGCGUUAAUCGGAUUUACUGGGCGUAAAGCGUGCGUAGGCGGCUAAUUGAGUCGGAUGUGAAAUCCCCGAGCUUAACUUGGGAAUUGCAUUCGAUACUGGUUAGCUAGAGUGUGGGAGAGGAUGGUAGAAUUCCAGGUGUAGCGGUGAAAUGCGUAGAGAUCUGGAGGAAUACCGAUGGCGAAGGCAGCCAUCUGGCCUAACACUGACGCUGAGGUACGAAAGCAUGGGGAGCAAACAGG
Molecule: ribosomal RNA, 430 nt
Filed under: Pseudomonadota bacterium
Lineage: Bacteria; Pseudomonadati; Pseudomonadota
Description: Proteobacteria bacterium partial 16S ribosomal RNA
Rfam family: Bacterial small subunit ribosomal RNA
Source: RNAcentral